GACGAAAGAGGGGGGGGGAGGGCAUACAUGCAAGUCGAACGCUUCUUUCCUCCCGAGUGCUUGCACUCAAUUGGAAAGAGGAGUGGCGGACGGGUGAGUAACCCGUGGGUAACCUACCCAUCAGCGGGGGAUAACACUUGGAAACAGGUGCUAAUACCGCAUAACAGUUUAUGCCGCAUGGCAUAAGAGUGAAAGGCGCUUUCGGGUGUCGCUGAUGGAUGGACCCGCGGUGCAUUAGCUAGUUGGUGAGCUACCGGCUUACCAGGGCCACGAUGCAUAGCCGACCGGAGAGGGUGAUCGGCCACACCGGGACUGAGCCACGGCCCAGACUCCUACGGGAGGCAGCAGUAGGGAAUCUUCUGCAAUGGACGAAAGUCUGACCGAGCAACGCCGCGUGAGUGAAGAAGGUUUUCGGAUCGUAAAACUCUGUUGUUAGAGAAGAACAAGGACGUUAGUAACUGAACGUCCCCUGACGGUAUCUAACCAGAAAGCCACGGCUAACUACGUU
Molecule: ribosomal RNA, 508 nt
Filed under: uncultured bacterium
Lineage: Bacteria
Description: partial 16S ribosomal RNA
Rfam family: Bacterial small subunit ribosomal RNA
Source: RNAcentral